CGGGACCGUGGGGCCCGAGAACCCUGGGUCAAGGAAACGCGAUAGAAAUGUUGCCCCCGGGGUCCUUUGCGAAGCAAGAAAUCCUGCAAUAAGUAAAACCUGGCGUCCAGCAGCGUGAGUGGUUCAUGUGGCCUGACUGAGGAUUGGCCAAUCAGCUUCCAAGUUUGAAAUUCCCCUAACUCCUUCAAUUUCGUCGGGGGCGCUGGAUCAGGGGGUAGACCUGAGAGCCUGGGCUCCUGCGUUCUUGCCGGCCAACCCCGCGAUAAGCCUCUUUCUCAUCUCAAAAGCCUGUGCUCUCUCUGGUCCUGGCUUUCAGGCAAGGCAGGCUGGGAGCCUUUGCUCCAUCACGGAAGGCGGUAAAUGCUCGGAUUCCAUCCUGGGUAUGUUAAAAACAAAAACAAAACAGACUUCCGGAUGAACAAAGACGAUGCUAUUGAUUCCGGUCUACAGACACAGGUUGUACGCCUGUCGUUUCUUUGGUGCAUCUCAAAAAGACCGAGUGACCCAGAAGCACAUUUUCCUUGUAUCUCAUGGGCGCCGAAAGCUGAAAGGAGCUGAAGGAGAAUGUCACCAUUGUGUCGCGCUACGGAACGAGACGGACGCGGUGGGCUCUGAUGGUUUUGGGCUCUUGGGAGAACCAGCCCGGGAGGCCGUGCCCGUGCUGCUGGCUCACACCCGUGGGGGAGCCCCUCUAUCCCGGCCACUCCGACUCCCGCGGCUGCAGAAACUCAUGCCUUGCUUGGUGGGAAUAACCGAUACCCCUGUGGGGCUGGAAGCGUGGAAGAGAAAGAGGAGGCCAAAGGAGACGACAGAGCACUCCUGGUACUGGGGUACAGUCGAUGGGGAAAUGCCCCCUACGAGGGAGACAUCUGCCAGUCCGCUCCCCAGAAUCUCAGGACUAGAGGAAGAGAUGAUGCGAGAGGAAGAAGCAGAUGGCACAGGUGAGAAAGGAAAAUCUUCUUUUUCUGAAAAAUGCCAGGAGUUCCCUGGUGGCGCAGUGGGUUAAGGAUCUGGCGUUAUCACUGGAUCUGGCUCAGGUUGAUGCUGUGGCGCGGUUGGAUCUCUGGCCUGGCAACUGACACAUGCCCUGGGCAUGGCCACAAAAUAACUUCGAAAAAAAAAUUUUUUAAAUGAAAAACUUCAGAAAUUUGAGCAACUUCUACUUUUCAGCCAUAAAACUGGAAGGAGGUAUUUGCUGACUCCCAGGCAAAUUCUUCCAGCAUUUGAAGCUAAAAAUUGGCACUAUCAGCAGGAGCUGGUCCUCGGGGAUCUCCAUCCGUCCACAUCUGCACCCUGAGGCUCCCUGUUGAGACUGGACAACUUCCCCCCCGAGCUGGUCCCAU
Molecule: long non-coding RNA, 1343 nt
Filed under: Sus scrofa (pig)
Lineage: Eukaryota; Metazoa; Chordata; Mammalia; Artiodactyla; Suidae
Description: lncRNA (ENSSSCG00060034833.1)
Source: RNAcentral